GGCCCAAACAAUUUUGUCAUCAACAAAUUAAAACAUAUUGACCAAAUUUGUAUUCGUUUUUCGUUGGUCCCUGAUAGAUAUUUAUUUGCAUUAUUCAUUCGUUGGUCCCUGGUGGAUAGUUGUCUUAUUGUUUAUUCGUUGGCCCCUGGUGGAUAGUUGUCUCAUUGUUUAUUCGUUGGUCCCUGGUGGAUAGUUGUUUUCAUUGUUUAUUCGUUGGUCCCUGGUUGAUAGUUGAGUUCAUUGUUUAUUAGUUGGUCCCUGGUGGAUAGUUGUGUCAUUGUUUAUUAGUUGGUCCCUGGUGGAUAGUUGUCUCAUUGUUUAUUCGUUGGUCCCUGUGGAUAGUUGUCUCAUUGUUUAUUCGUUGGUCCCUGGUGGAUAGUUGUCUCAUUGUUUAUUCGUUGGUCCCUGGUGGAUAGUUGUCUCAUUGUUUAUUCGUUGGUCCCUGGUGGAUAGUUGUUCAUUGUUUAUUCGUUGGUCCCUGGUGGAUAGUUGUUUUCAUUGUU
RNAcentral lists this long non-coding RNA (503 nucleotides) under Mytilus galloprovincialis (Mediterranean mussel). The record is from RNAcentral. Lineage: Eukaryota; Metazoa; Mollusca; Bivalvia; Mytilida; Mytilidae.